Juglans microcarpa x Juglans regia is the source of this 184-nucleotide long non-coding RNA. RefSeq lists it as uncharacterized. The transcript is spliced from 3 exons. NCBI's taxonomy places the organism in Eukaryota, Viridiplantae, Streptophyta, Magnoliopsida, Fagales, Juglandaceae. The record is from RefSeq and is a predicted model, not a curated record.
ACGUCAGCCCAAAACACAUAUAGGAAUUUAUUUGGCCCAUCUGAGAUAGAUCUUGCUGCUGAAGAAAACGUGCAGACUGUUCCAGUCAGCUCAGCUUUUGAUAUUAGUGGAUUCCAAAAUAUGGUUGGGAGUCAAGAAAGUAUGCAACUUGGAGUAGAUGGAUCACAAGCUUUGCCCAAAUGAU